This 364-nucleotide ribosomal RNA is filed under the name Prorocentrum micans. RNAcentral's name for it is "eukaryotic LSU rRNA". It matches the Rfam family "Eukaryotic large subunit ribosomal RNA", at positions 1 to 364 of the family's 3401-position model. Lineage: Eukaryota; Dinophyceae; Prorocentrales; Prorocentraceae. The record is from RNAcentral.
CAAGACAUGAAGUUAGGUCAGCAAACCCGCUGAAUUUAAGCAUAUAAGUAAGCGGAGGAUAAGAAACUAAAUAGGAUUCCCUCAGUAAUGGCGAAUGAACAGGGAUCAGCUCAGCAUGGAAAUUGGGCCCUCGGCCUUGAAUUGUAGUCUCGAGAUGCAUCGCCAAUGGAGGCGCAGAUGUAAGCCUCUUGGAAAAGAGCAUCAACGAGGGUGAGAGUCCCGUUUGUCAUCUGCAGUCCCCCAUGCACGGCGUGCUUCUAAGAGUCGCGUUCCUCGGAAUUGGAGCGUCAAUUGGGUGGUAAAUUUCAUCUCAAGCUAAAUAUUGGUUCGAGACCGAUAGCAAACAAGUACCAUGAGGGAAAGG